UACCCAUGGUGAGGACACAUACUCAACAACUCUUCAAAUCUUUCCCAAGACUGAGAUAAAGUCUCACUGUCAUUUUGUGCAAAGGUAGAGAUUAGCCUUUUUAAAGCA
Small nucleolar RNA from Juglans microcarpa x Juglans regia, 108 nucleotides. The record is from RefSeq and is a predicted model, not a curated record. Lineage: Eukaryota; Viridiplantae; Streptophyta; Magnoliopsida; Fagales; Juglandaceae.